GUCUAUGGCAUGCCACCCUGAACAAGCCUGAUGUCUGAUCUCCGAAGCUAAGUAGGGUCAGGAGUGGUUAGUACUUGGAUGGGUGACCACCAAGGAAGACCAGGUGCUGUAGGCA
Pteropus alecto (black flying fox) is the source of this 115-nucleotide non-coding RNA. NCBI's taxonomy places the organism in Eukaryota, Metazoa, Chordata, Mammalia, Chiroptera, Pteropodidae. The record is from Rfam.